This 488-nucleotide ribosomal RNA is filed under the name uncultured bacterium. RNAcentral's name for it is "partial 16S ribosomal RNA". It matches the Rfam family "Bacterial small subunit ribosomal RNA", at positions 30 to 507 of the family's 1533-position model. The record is from RNAcentral.
UGAACGCUGGCGGCAGGCCUACCACAUGCAAGUCGCACGGUAACAGGAAACAGCUUGCUGUUUCGCUGACGAGUGGCGGACGGGUGAGUAAUGUCUGGGAAACUGCCUGAUGGAGGGGGAUAACUACUGGAAACGGUAGCUAAUACCGCAUAACGUCGCAAGACCAAAGAGGGGGACCCUCGGGCCUCUUGCCAUCGGAUGUGCCCAGAUGGGAUUAGCUUGUUGGUGGGGUAACGGCUCACCAAGGCGACGAUCCCUAGCUGGUCUGAGAGGAUGACCAGCCACACUGGAACUGAGACACGGUCCAGACUCCUACGGGAGGCAGCAGUGGGGAAUAUUGCACAAUGGGCGCAAGCCUGAUGCAGCCAUGCCGCGUGUAUGAAGAAGGCCUUCGGGUUGUAAAGUACUUUCAGCGGGGAGGAAGGGAGUAAAGUUAAUACCUUUGCUCAUUGACGUUACCCGCAGAAGAAGCACCGGCUAACUCCGUG